UACGGGGGGGGCAAGCGUUGUUCGGAAUUACUGGGCGUAAAGGGCGCGUAGGCGGUUGGAUAAGUCAGCUGUGAAAACCACGGGCUUAACUCGUGGCCUGCAGUUGAGACUGUCUGGCUUGAGUGUGGGAGAGGAGAGUGGAAUUCCUGGUGUAGCGGUGAAAUGCGUAGAUAUCGUAAGGAAGACCAGUGGCGAAGGCGAGUCUCUGGACAGCAACUGACGCUGAGGCACGAAGGCCAGGGGAGCAAACGGG
RNAcentral lists this ribosomal RNA (253 nucleotides) under uncultured bacterium. RNAcentral describes it as "partial 16S ribosomal RNA". It matches the Rfam family "Bacterial small subunit ribosomal RNA", at positions 524 to 776 of the family's 1533-position model. The record is from RNAcentral.